GUAAUACUUCCUCCGUCCCAAAAUUCUUGUCUUUGAUUUGUAUAGAUGGGAAUGUAUCUAGUCAAAUUUUAGUAUUUUGAUACAUUCAUUUAAAAAAAACUAAGACAAGAAUUUUGGUACGGAGGAAGUAGGUG
Hordeum vulgare subsp. vulgare (domesticated barley) is the source of this 134-nucleotide non-coding RNA. The record is from Rfam. NCBI's taxonomy places the organism in Eukaryota, Viridiplantae, Streptophyta, Magnoliopsida, Poales, Poaceae.